GGGGAUUUAGCUCAGUGGUAGAGCGCUUGCCUACCAAGCGUAAGGCCCUGGGUUCGGUCCCCAGCUCCG
RNAcentral lists this transfer RNA (69 nucleotides) under Rattus norvegicus (Norway rat). It matches the Rfam family "tRNA". Rfam says of the family: Transfer RNA (tRNA) molecules are approximately 80 nucleotides in length. Their secondary structure includes four short double-helical elements and three loops (D, anti-codon, and T loops). The record is from Rfam by way of RNAcentral. Lineage: Eukaryota; Metazoa; Chordata; Mammalia; Rodentia; Muridae.